AUUUGUCAUCAUACUUGCAUUUGCAAGCAAGUAAACCUUAAACAGCUGAAGAUCUAUCUAUCUAUGCCUUCCAAAGGCACCUCAAUUGAGAACAUGCAGUUUUCUUUCUAUUUUGAGGUGGAAAUAGCAGGUCCUACAUUUUGUGUCUACAUAUAUAGUGUGUUACUUGGUGGUGGUGGUGGUUUUUAUUUUCUUUUUCUUUUUAUGAUCUUUCCAUUACUGUAGACUAUUAGUGUGAUUGAGGCAAAGAUGAUA
Non-coding RNA from Camellia sinensis, 255 nucleotides. The record is from RefSeq and is a predicted model, not a curated record. Lineage: Eukaryota; Viridiplantae; Streptophyta; Magnoliopsida; Ericales; Theaceae.